RNAcentral lists this ribosomal RNA (253 nucleotides) under uncultured bacterium. RNAcentral describes it as "partial 16S ribosomal RNA". It matches the Rfam family "Bacterial small subunit ribosomal RNA", at positions 524 to 776 of the family's 1533-position model. RNAcentral also lists the same sequence under 1 other name. The record is from RNAcentral.
UACGGAGGAUCCAAGCGUUAUCCGGAUUUAUUGGGUUUAAAGGGUGCGUAGGCGGACCCGUUAGUCAGUGGUGAAAGUUUGCAGCUCAACUGUAAAAUUGCCAUUGAAACUGCGGGUCUUGAGUGUAAAUGAGGUAGGCGGAAUGUGUUGUGUAGCGGUGAAAUGCUUAGAUAUAACACAGAACACCAAUUGCGAAGGCAGCUUACUGGGAUACAACUGACGCUGAGGCACGAAAGCGUGGGGAUCAAACAGG